RNAcentral lists this ribosomal RNA (253 nucleotides) under uncultured bacterium. RNAcentral describes it as "partial 16S ribosomal RNA". It matches the Rfam family "Bacterial small subunit ribosomal RNA", at positions 524 to 776 of the family's 1533-position model. The record is from RNAcentral.
UACGUAGGGGGCAAGCGUUGUCCGGAAUCAUUGGGCGUAAAGAGCGUGUAGGUGGCUCGGUAAGUCCGCUGUGAAAGUCCAGGGCUCAACCCUGGAAAGCCGGUGGAAACUGUCGAGCUCGAGUCCGGAAGAGGCGAGUGGAAUUCCUGGUGUAGCGGUGAAAUGCGCAGAUAUCAGGAGGAACACCAAUGGCGAAGGCGGCUCUCUGGGACGGUACUGACGCUGAGACGCGAAAGCGUGGGGAGCGAACAGG